AGCUUACUAUGCUUUCGAAAGUAUAAAAAAAUUCGUAAUUCCUAAUUUUUUUGAUUUUUAAAUUAAGUUUUUUGAUUAUUUCUGAUCUUUAAAUUAUUAUUAUUAUUCUAAAAAAAUUACUGAAUUUUAAGAGGGACCACUAUCAUCCGGACUGAUCCAAAGACUAAAAGGUGGGAAGCAUCAUUCGAUAGCAUAGUAACUCUAUACUGUUUAUGGAUACAAAUAUUAGAAAUUUUAUUCGAACUCAUAUCCGAACAAAAUACACUUGAUUUAUACUAAAUGAAUAUAAUUUUGAUUAUGGAUAUAAAAAACGAACACUCAACAAAUUUGAAUCUGCUAUGAUUUUUUAUAUAUAUUCGAUCAGAACCAAAACCAAAUCCAAACAGAUUUUGUAUUAUAUAAUAUAUAAGAAUGUAAAUUUAUAUUUUAAAAAUUUAGAUUUGAAUAUGAUAUGUUUUAGAACUUGGUAAAGAAAAAUGAUUGCUGUUGAGAUCGGGUUCCGAGAUUUGACUUUGGGUCUCUGUCAUUUUGUUGGGUUCAAUUUUGGUUAUGAAUUUUCAAAAUCCGAUGAGUUCGAGUUCGGAUUUGGAUUUUGGAAAAUCCACUCUAAAUCCGACCGAAUGCCAUAAUAUAGAUUAUCAAACAUAAGAAU
This 652-nucleotide long non-coding RNA is filed under the name Ananas comosus (pineapple). RNAcentral's name for it is "long non-coding RNA (ACOM_LNC025391)". The record is from RNAcentral. Lineage: Eukaryota; Viridiplantae; Streptophyta; Magnoliopsida; Poales; Bromeliaceae.